AGGGGAAUAACAGGGCAUUUCUUCUUUGGGAGAGAGUUGCAAACUUGCAAUGUGUUUAUUGUUAUUGUUGUUUACUCAUGCAAUUUCUGCCAAAGGAGAUUUGCCCUGCUAUUUUUCA
This 118-nucleotide microRNA precursor is filed under the name Zostera marina. RNAcentral's name for it is "mir-399 microRNA precursor family". It matches the Rfam family "mir-399 microRNA precursor family". Rfam says of the family: mir-399 was identified in both Arabidopsis thaliana and Oryza sativa computationally and was later experimentally verified. mir-399 is thought to target mRNAs coding for a phosphatase transporter. The mature sequence is excised from the 3' arm of the hairpin. The record is from Rfam by way of RNAcentral. Lineage: Eukaryota; Viridiplantae; Streptophyta; Magnoliopsida; Alismatales; Zosteraceae.